UGUUUGCGUCCAAAGUCUAAAUUCUACCUAUUAUAUAGUGGUAGUUAAAUGCUUGGUAAAGUUUCUUGGUACUCAUCUGACCAACCGGAUAACUUAGAAUCAUUUAGAUCAGAUCACCAACUGGCAGCCUCCUGGCUGACUGGCCGCAGUAUAUUUUGUUUGGUGAGUUUGAAUUUAUAAUUUCUUCUUUGGAUGUGAUACUCACUGUGGAGCACUUGGCCCCCGUUUGUUUCAGUUCUGGCCUCCAAAGCAGAAGAACCAGCCCCACAGCCUCUAGGCAGAAAUCCUGUGCCUCCGGGCCAGUUCACAGGGCUGGAACCUUCCCUCAUGCUGCCACUGACCCUGUAGACUAUGAGUCUGUUACAUGGUGUAGACUGACCUCCCAUUUCUGGGGCCAAGAAGGGGUAGGAUUUGUCUAGGGUCACUUGGGGCCAUCUCAGCCCCAAAUGGGUCAUGUGUCCCUGGCAUCACUCCUGUGCCCAGCCUACCAUUGGCCCUGCCUCUGCACGUGGCCACUGUCAGCCCACCACCAUCCUGGAUUGUCCUGCUCAGGAAAGCUGAGGUCAAGUGGGUGGCCAGGGUAAGCCCCACACCAGCCAUGCCCCGUAGGUGUCCCAGGAUUUGGUUGUUCCAGGAAGAAAGAGUUGAUUUUUCCGUCAUGCAGCCCAGACAGGCCCCUUCAGGCCAGUGGAGAAGGGAGCCUCCCAGGGCUGCCUGGCAGAUACCCUGAUUUCCACUUCUUGAAGUGGCCACUUGGAAAAGAAAGGAAUCAGCGACUAAUCAAGCAUGAAGUACAGAAGCACACUCCAGGAAAUCAUGUGCCCCAGUCUGUUCCAUGGACAGUGCUGGGCAGGAGGAGGCUAGGAAGGUUGUAGUCAAAAAGGUCAAACAGGAUGAGGGAGCAGAGAGCCCACUUCUUCUGGACCCUGGUGGAUCAUUGGCAAAAGAAAAAGGGAAGAGUGUAGGGUAGGGCUGGGAGGCCAUGUCUGAACCUUCUCUCUUGAGGAUGUUGUACAAGUGUCCACGUGGAAA
Heterocephalus glaber (naked mole-rat) is the source of this 1032-nucleotide long non-coding RNA. Lineage: Eukaryota; Metazoa; Chordata; Mammalia; Rodentia; Bathyergidae. The record is from Ensembl.